UGUUUUGAAUUAAGGUUUAAGAAACCCAUACAGGGUCCUAUUUUAAUGAUCUGAAACGCAAGUAUCAAGCGGCAAACGCAAGUAGCUUUGUGGGGGGGAUCUCUGGCGCUGUUGCUAUGAUACCGGCGGGAUGAAUGACUCUUGUAGCCGACGCGAAUCUUAAAUGGGUUGGUCUGACGAAGCUACAUUACACACAGGUGUGGUUUGGGCGUAAUGUGCAAUAAACCAAUUCGAGUGUUAUUUCACAUUCCCUUUAAAAGCAGGCGUGCUUGUUCCAUGGUGGAUUGCUAUAGUAAUGGUGGACUUGCUAGGCGCACUUAAU
This is a long non-coding RNA of Etheostoma cragini (Arkansas darter), 322 nucleotides long. RefSeq lists it as uncharacterized. The record is from RefSeq and is a predicted model, not a curated record. The transcript has 5 exons. NCBI's taxonomy places the organism in Eukaryota, Metazoa, Chordata, Actinopteri, Perciformes, Percidae.